Molecule: ribosomal RNA, 253 nt
Filed under: uncultured bacterium
Lineage: Bacteria
Description: partial 16S ribosomal RNA
Rfam family: Bacterial small subunit ribosomal RNA
Source: RNAcentral
UACGUAGGGUGCAAGCGUUAAUCGGAAUUACUGGGCGUAAAGCGUGCGCAGGCGGUCUUGCAAGACAGAUGUGAAAUCCCCGGGCUCAACCUGGGAACUGCAUUUGUGACUGCAAGGCUGGAGUGCGGCAGAGGGGGAUGGAAUUCCGCGUGUAGCAGUGAAAUGCGUAGAUAUGCGGAGGAACAUCAGUUGCGAAGGCGGCUCUCUGGACCAGCACUGACACUGAGGCACGAAAGCGUGGGGAGCAAACAGG